AGACCAUGAUGGGGACGUCUUCGUUGUAAUUCCGCGAUAACGCUCCCAAGUUUCGUACAAUGUCUCUCCUUCCUGUUGAGAGAAACUAGUUAUAUCCAUACGAAAUUU
Non-coding RNA from Coffea arabica (coffee), 108 nucleotides. The record is from RefSeq and is a predicted model, not a curated record. Lineage: Eukaryota; Viridiplantae; Streptophyta; Magnoliopsida; Gentianales; Rubiaceae.